This 28-nucleotide non-coding RNA is filed under the name Mus musculus (house mouse). The record is from RNAcentral. Lineage: Eukaryota; Metazoa; Chordata; Mammalia; Rodentia; Muridae.
UAGAUGAAAGAAACUCGGAGACUAUUGG